RNAcentral lists this ribosomal RNA (449 nucleotides) under uncultured bacterium. Its description in RNAcentral is "bacterial SSU rRNA". It matches the Rfam family "Bacterial small subunit ribosomal RNA", at positions 337 to 802 of the family's 1533-position model. The record is from RNAcentral.
UCCUACGGGAGGCAGCAGUAGGGAAUAUUGCCCAAUGGACGAAAGUCUGAGGCAGCAACGCCGCGUGCGCGAUGAAGGCCUUCGGGUUGUAAAGCGCUUUUCUGGGGGAAGAGAAAGGACGGUACCCCAGGAAUAAGUCUCGGCUAACUACGUGCCAGCAGCCGCGGUAAAACGUAGGAGGCAAGCGUUAUCCGGAUUUAUUGGGCGUAAAGCGCGUGUAGGCGGUUUAGUAAGUCGGACGUGAAAGUUCCCGGCUCAACUGGGAGAUGCCGUUCGAGACUGCUAGACUAGAGGGCAGUAGAGGGAGGUGGAAUUCUGGGUGUAGCGGUGAAAUGCGUAGAUAUCCAGAGGAACACCAGUGGCGAAGGCGGCCUCCUGGACUGUCCCUGACGCUCAGACGCGAAAGCUAGGGUAGCAAACGGGAUUAGAUACCCCGGUAGUCCAAGCCG